Long non-coding RNA from Trichechus manatus latirostris (Florida manatee), 403 nucleotides. RefSeq lists it as uncharacterized. The record is from RefSeq and is a predicted model, not a curated record. Lineage: Eukaryota; Metazoa; Chordata; Mammalia; Sirenia; Trichechidae. The transcript has 3 exons.
GGUCUGGCAGGCGUAGGGUUGAGACCAAGUGUGUCACUUCCUGAGGUUGCGACUUUGGCGAUUUCUCUGGGUUCCCCUCCACACUGGGACAAAAGCCACUUUGGGAGGGUUUUCAGUGAGUGAUUUUUGGAAGCAGAUCACCAGGCCUUUCUUCCAAGGUGCCUCUGAAUGGACUUGAACCUCCAACCUUUUGGUUAGCAGUCAAGUGCGUUAACCAUUUUCAUCACCCAGGAGCUUCCAGGCGGAUUUAGGGUUCAGAGAAAGGAAGGUUAGGUUUCCUAGUCAUCAUGGCUCUCGGAACUGACCCAUUCUCUCUCCCUGGGUUUGCUUGAGAUGUUCUCCCCACUGAAGACACUGAGGGGUGACUGCUGAAGGAGGCAGAGGAGAAGAAGGUACAGCCCUC